CUUGCACACCGUUAGAGCUUGGCGCAGUCCAGUCAGUGUGGUGCUGGGUGUAAGAUGUGUGGUACAGAAACACAGGG
This 77-nucleotide small nucleolar RNA is filed under the name Hucho hucho (huchen). Lineage: Eukaryota; Metazoa; Chordata; Actinopteri; Salmoniformes; Salmonidae. The record is from RNAcentral.